Long non-coding RNA from Canis lupus familiaris (dog), 2003 nucleotides. RefSeq lists it as uncharacterized. The record is from RefSeq and is a predicted model, not a curated record. The transcript is spliced from 4 exons. Lineage: Eukaryota; Metazoa; Chordata; Mammalia; Carnivora; Canidae.
GGGAAUGGGGCAUUCCCAUUACGCAUCUGCAUUACGGAAAGCACCGCAGGAGAUUGCGGUGUACAACCAGAAAAAAUUUGCCAAUUUGUUGUCUAGUAAAAAACAAAAAAACAGGCAAUGACAAUACAGCAUGGUAAUCCUGUGACAACAGUAAGCACAAGGCUUUGGGAUCAGGGAAGGCUUCUUGGAAGAGGCAAUGUCUAAUUCAAGAACUACAGUGGAGAGAUCACAGGCUGAGAAAAGCAUGAACAAAGUCCAGAGGCCUGGAUUUUGUUGUUUCCAAUUUACAGAUGGGAAUGGAUGUGACAGUAAAGGAACUGACAUUCACGGAGGCCGGUGGAUGGAAGGAUGAUUCGAGUGUAUUUGCCACAUCUUGCCAAUGAGAUCUGCAAAUCCACACUGGGGGAAAAAAACCCUGUGACUCAGAGCAGCCACUCUCCAGGGCUUGAGUGGGAACCACAAGCAUCAUGACUUACUGGUUUGUGCCCAGGAGGAUCUUCAGGUUUCCCACCAAGUCCAGACACACAGCUUCAGAAUCCUGCUCAAUUCACCCUCCAUCCAUCAGCUGAUAUACUUCCCAACCCUUCCUGAAUCUGGAGAAGGGUUGGCUCGCGCAGUGCUUUCAGCACAAACCUACUCACUUCCCGUAGGAAGCCAGCCUUUCCGUCAACUCUGCUUCUGACCCAGAAUUUAACACAAUUCAACAAAUGUUCACCGAGAAUCCACUAAGUGUCAGGGAGCAGGGAUGAAUAAACAUGGUCUCUGUGCCCUAAGGAGCUCACAUUCUGAUGAGAGAAGUUACUGACUUCAGCUCCCUCUGAAGUGGCAGCCUUGCUCUGCGGAGGUUCGGGGUGGAACUGGGCACGCUCCAUGCACAACUGCCCUCAGCCUUUCCCAGCAGAGAUGGGGCCAUCCCUGCAUGCCAUUGUGUGGCUGGGAACUCAGCAUCUUGCACCAGUGGGGGCUGGACCCCAAGGAAUGGCAGCAGCUCAAGGUAAAAGAUGAAGUCAGGUGUGAGUCAGGCUGGGAUUAAUGAACAGUGCAUCUGGCCUGAGCAAUGGGUACAGCACUGGGGUCUCUGGAAUGUUCCAAUAAGGAAGUGUACUCUGGGGUGCUGGUCACCAUCUGGUGAAGGCAUGGGGAGGAAAGAGCUGACAAGCAAAGAACUAAAGUAUCAGGGCCUAAGCCCCCCAACUAGGAGCACAGCAAGAAAGAAACCAAGGCAGAGGAAUAGCCAGUCCAACUCUGUGCAAGGGUUGACAAAUGUGUCAGGACCCCAGCAGGUUUGCCAGGCUUUAUAGAAAGACGCCAGUUUUAAGAAGCUCGGGGGCUGAUUCCUCUGGUCUAGCCCUACACUGCCCAAACCUGGUUCAGGGACGCUGGAUGGCCGGGGCCUCCCUAAGUUAGAACGCCCAUGAGAGCCUCUUGUGACUUGUCACGUUUUCUCUUCAUCAAGACACAAUGGCCAUUUCCACGCAGCGGCUGUCUUCCCGCCCCCAAGGGCUGGCAGUCACAUCAUUCGCAGAAGGGGCGCCCGGUUACCUCUCAGACCUUGUCCUGGCAUUUGACUACCUGCCUUUCUGUGGAGAUUUCCAGAAUCCACUAAGUAGGUGCUGUAAAUAGGCAGAGAAGGGAAUGAGUGUGAGUGUCUAUGUGCGUGUGUGUGUCUUAGUCUCUACUUACACCGCAGACACACACACACACACACACACACACACACACACACACAGCCACACUCACAGAAGCAGAUCGACUUCAUCGGAAUCAGUUUGCAAACUUCAUUUCUUUAGGAUGAAGAGACGAGAAAAUUAUUAUUAACAUAUCAAUGGCACCUCCAUGCUGGGAACAAGAUUACUCUCAGGCGCACACAAGCACCCAGGGAGGCACAGACGCUGUAUUUUAAAUGUGCUCCGUCUCCGCAUCGCGCUCUCCACCCUGCCCCCAUUCCCUUUUUAUUUUUAUUUUAUUUUUUUUUAUUCCUCCAAGCUUGUUUCUCUUGAAAU